UGGGGAAUUUUGGACAAUGGGGGAAACCCUGAUCCAGCCAUCCCGCGUGUGCGAUGAAGGCCUUCGGGUUGUAAAGCACUUUUGGCAGGAAAGAAACGUCAUGGGUUAAUACCCCGUGAAACUGACGGUACCUGCAGAAUAAGCACCGGCUAACUACGUGCCAGCAGCCGCGGUAAUACGUAGGGUGCAAGCGUUAAUCGGAAUUACUGGGCGUAAAGCGUGCGCAGGCGGUUCGGAAAGAAAGAUGUGAAAUCCCGGAGCUCAACUUUGGAACUGCAUUUUUAACUACCGGGCUAGAGUGUGUCAGAGGGAGGUGGAAUUCCGCGUGUAGCAGUGAAAUGCGUAGAUAUGCGGAAGAACACCGAUAGCGAAGGCAGCCUCCUGGGAUAACACUGACGCUCAUGCACGAAAGCGUGGGGAGCAAACAGG
RNAcentral lists this ribosomal RNA (429 nucleotides) under Acidobacteriota bacterium. Its description in RNAcentral is "Acidobacteria bacterium partial 16S ribosomal RNA". It matches the Rfam family "Bacterial small subunit ribosomal RNA", at positions 355 to 776 of the family's 1533-position model. Lineage: Bacteria; Pseudomonadati; Acidobacteriota. The record is from RNAcentral.